This 441-nucleotide ribosomal RNA is filed under the name uncultured bacterium. Its description in RNAcentral is "partial 16S ribosomal RNA". It matches the Rfam family "Bacterial small subunit ribosomal RNA", at positions 338 to 795 of the family's 1533-position model. The record is from RNAcentral.
CCUACGGGUGGCAGCAGUGGGGAAUAUUGCACAAUGGGGGAAACCCUGAUGCAGCGACGCCGCGUGAGUGAAGAAGUAUUUCGGUAUGUAAAGCUCUAUCAGCAGGAACGAGACAAGACGGUACCUGACUAAGAAGCCCCGGCUAACUACGUGCCAGCAGCCGCGGUAAUACGUAGGGGGCAAGCGUUAUCCGGAAUCACUGGGGGUAAAGGGAGCGUAGACGGCUGGGCAAGCCUAGAGUGAAAGGGGGGGGCCCAACCCCCGGACUGCCUUUGGGACUGUACGGCCGGAGUUGCGGGGAGGGUAGUGGAAAUUCCGGUGUAGGCGGGGAAUUGCGAGAUAUUUGGAGGAACACCAGUGGCGAAGGCGGCUUACUGGACUGUAACUGACGUUGAGGCUCGAAAGCGUGGGGAGCAAACAGGAUUAGAUACCCCGGUAGUC